Potamilus streckersoni is the source of this 78-nucleotide non-coding RNA. The record is from the annotation of a GenBank genome assembly. NCBI's taxonomy places the organism in Eukaryota, Metazoa, Mollusca, Bivalvia, Unionida, Unionidae.
GGUCUGGUGGCCUAAGUGGUUAGAUUGUCUGCCUUGGAUGCAGGAGGUCAUGGGUUCAAACCUGGCCAUGUUAUGCCA